AGAGUUUGAUCCUGGCUCAGAAUGAACGUUGGCGGCGUGGAUUAGGCAUGCAAGUCGAGCGGCAAGGAAUCUUCGGAUUCCCUAGAGCGGCGGAAGGGAUAGUACAAUAUGGAUACGUGCCUCUUAGCUCAGGAUAGCGUCUGGAAACGGGCGAUAAUACUGAAUGACGUAUUAAUACGAAAGGUGAGAUUCCGCUAAGAGAUCGGUCCAUAGCCUAUUAGCUAGUUGGUAGGGUAACGGCCUACCAAGGCGAAGAUGGGUACGGGGCGUGAGAGCGCGACCCCGAUCACUGGGACUGAGACACUGCCCAGACGCCUACGGGCGGCUGCAGUCGAGAAUCUUCGGCAAUGGACGCAAGUCUGACCGAGCGACGCCGCGUGUAUGAUGAAGGCCUUCGGGUUGUAAAGUACUGUCGAUUGGGCGGAAGUUAGAGGGGGCAAUCCCCUUCUUUUGACCUAUCAUUUGAGGAAGGACGGGCUAAGUUCGUGCCAGCAGCCGCGGUAAGACGAACUGUUCUAACGUUAUUCGGAAUCACUGGGCUUAAAGGGCAUGUAGGUGGUAUAUUAAGCGGGGUCUGAAAUCCCACGGCUCAACCGUGGAACUGGGCUUCGAACUGAUAAACUAGAGUGAAGUAGAGGUAAGCGGAACUUGCGGUGGAGCGGUGAAAUGCUUUGAUAUCGCAAGGAACACCGGUGGCGAAAGCGGCUUACUUGGCUUCAACUGACACUCAAGUGCGAAAGCUAGGGUAGCGAACGGGAUUAGAUACCCCGGUAGUCCUAGCCGUAAACGCUGAGCGCUUGUUCGAGGGAGAUUUUUCUUUCUCGAGCGCAGCGAAAGUCUUAAGCGCUCCGCCUGGGGAGUACGGUCGCAAGACUGAAACUCAAAGGAAUUGACGGGGACCCGCACAAGCGGUGGAGCAUGUGGUUUAAUUCGAAGCAACGCGAAGAACCUUACCAGGUCUUGACAUACCAUUGACCGUUCUAGAGAUAGGAUUUUCCCUUCGGGGACAAUGGAUACAGGUGGUGCAUGGUUGUCGUCAGCUCGUGUCGUGAGAUGUUGGGUUAAGUCCCGCAACGAGCGCAAUCCUUAUCUUUAGUUGCCAUCAUUUAGUUGGGUACUCUAACGAGACUGCCUAAGUUAAUGCGGAGGAAGGCGGGGAGGACGUCAAGUCCUCAUGGCCCUUAUGCCUAGGGCUGCACACGUCCUACAAUGGAUUCCACAAAGAGAAGCGAGAUCGUGAGAUGGAGCAAACCUCAAAAAAGGAUCCUCAGUUCGGAUUGUAGUCUGCAACUCGACUACAUGAAGCCGGAAUCGCUAGUAAUCGCAGGUCAGCAUACUGCGGUGAAUAUGUUCUUGAGCCUUGUACACACCGCCC
Molecule: ribosomal RNA, 1375 nt
Filed under: uncultured bacterium
Lineage: Bacteria
Description: bacterial SSU rRNA
Rfam family: Bacterial small subunit ribosomal RNA
Source: RNAcentral